RNAcentral lists this transfer RNA (66 nucleotides) under Afronurus rubromaculatus. RNAcentral describes it as "tRNA-Tyr". It matches the Rfam family "tRNA". Rfam says of the family: Transfer RNA (tRNA) molecules are approximately 80 nucleotides in length. Their secondary structure includes four short double-helical elements and three loops (D, anti-codon, and T loops). The record is from RNAcentral. Lineage: Eukaryota; Metazoa; Arthropoda; Insecta; Ephemeroptera; Heptageniidae.
GGUGAGGUGGCUGAAAUUAGGUGAUAGACUGUAAAUCUAUUUAUGAGGAUUCCUCCUCUCUUACCA